RNAcentral lists this ribosomal RNA (431 nucleotides) under uncultured bacterium. RNAcentral's name for it is "partial 16S ribosomal RNA". It matches the Rfam family "Bacterial small subunit ribosomal RNA", at positions 29 to 507 of the family's 1533-position model. The record is from RNAcentral.
AACGAACGCUGGCGGCAGGCUUAACACAUGCAAGUCGAGCGCCCCGCCAGGGGAGCGGCAGACGGGUGAGUAACGCGUGGGAACGUACCCUUAUCUUCGGGAUAGCCCCGGGAUACUGGAAUUAAUACCGAAUGUGCCCUUUGGGGGAAUGAUUUAUCGGAUAAGGAUCGGCCCGCGUGGGAUUAGCUAGUUGGUGGGGUAAAGGCCUACCAAGGCGACGAUCCAUAGCUGGUCUGAGAAGAUGAUCAGCCACAUUGGGACUGAGACACGGCCCAAACUCCGACGGGAGGGAGCAGUGGGGAAUAUUGGACAAUGGGCGCAAGCCUGAUCCAGCCAUGCCGCGUGAGAGAUGAAGGCCUUAGGGUUGUAAAGCUCUUUCACCGGAGAAGAGAAUGACGGUAUCCGGAGAAGAAGCCCCGGCUAACUUCGUG